GGCUUUUGCAAAUUCUAGAGUUAUGACCCCAUUGUUGGCAAUUCCUCAUCUUAAGCAUAUACCCCUCUUUUUGAUUCUACUAGAAUCCUUUGGAUUAUCCUCUUCUUUCUUUUUGCCUUUUUGGGUCUAUUUAGAGAAGCCCUUAGGAGAGGGGGACACAAUGAGGUACUUUGUCUUUGGUCAAGAGUUUAUGCUUGGAACCGAUUCAAUGAUAUGCUUAUAGGUCCU
Molecule: long non-coding RNA, 228 nt
Filed under: Elaeis guineensis (African oil palm)
Lineage: Eukaryota; Viridiplantae; Streptophyta; Magnoliopsida; Arecales; Arecaceae
Description: long non-coding RNA (EGUI_LNC004935)
Source: RNAcentral